CAAGAGCGUAUGUAAAAGUUGUUGCAGUUAAAAAGCUCGUAGUUGAACCUUGGGUUUGGUUGGCCGGUCCGCUUUUUUGCGAGUACUGGAUUCAACCGAGCCUUUCCUUCUGGCUAACCAGUCGUUUCGGCGGCUGGCGAACCAGGAUUUUUACUUUGAGAAAAUUAGAGUGUUCAAAGCAGGCAUUAGCUUGAAUAUAUUAGCCUGGAAUAAUAGAAUAGGACGUUAUGGUUCUAUUUUGUUGGUUUCUAGGACCAUCGUAAUGAUUAAUAGGGACGGUCGGGGGCAUCAGUAUUCAGUUGUCAGAGGUGAAAUUCUUGGAUUUACUGAAGACUAACUACUGCGAAAGCAUUUGCCAAGGACGUUUUCAUUAA
RNAcentral lists this ribosomal RNA (374 nucleotides) under uncultured eukaryote. RNAcentral's name for it is "partial 18S ribosomal RNA". It matches the Rfam family "Eukaryotic small subunit ribosomal RNA", at positions 592 to 976 of the family's 1831-position model. The record is from RNAcentral.